This 486-nucleotide ribosomal RNA is filed under the name uncultured bacterium. Its description in RNAcentral is "partial 16S ribosomal RNA". It matches the Rfam family "Bacterial small subunit ribosomal RNA", at positions 30 to 507 of the family's 1533-position model. The record is from RNAcentral.
AUUGAACGCUGGCGGCAUGCCUUACACAUGCGAGUCGAACGGCAGCACGGGUGCUUGCCCCUGGUGGCGAGUGGCGAACGGGUGAGUAAUACAUCGGAACAUGUCCUGUAGUGGGGGAUAGCCCGGCGAAAGCCGGAUUAAUACCGCAUACGAUCUACGGAUGAAAGCGGGGGACCUUCGGGCCUCGCGCUAUAGGGUUGGCCGAUGGCUGAUUAGCUAGUUGGUGGGGUAAAGGCCUACCAAGGCGACGAUCAGUAGCUGGUCUGAGAGGACGACCAGCCACACUGGGACUGAGACACGGCCCAGACUCCUACGGGAGGCAGCAGUGGGGAAUUUUGGACAAUGGGCGAAAGCCUGAUCCAGCAAUGCCGCGUGUGUGAAGAAGGCCUUCGGGUUGUAAAGCACUUUUGUCCGGAAAGAAAUCCUUGGCUCUAAUACGGUCGGGGGAUGACGGUACCGGAAGAAUAAGCACCGGCUAACUACGUG